Molecule: ribosomal RNA, 486 nt
Filed under: uncultured bacterium
Lineage: Bacteria
Description: partial 16S ribosomal RNA
Rfam family: Bacterial small subunit ribosomal RNA
Source: RNAcentral
AUUGAACGCUGGCGGCAUGCCUUACACAUGCAAGUCGAACGGCAGCACGGGUGCUUGCACCUGGUGGCGAGUGGCGAACGGGUGAGUAAUACAUCGGAACAUGUCCUGUAGUGGGGGAUAGCCCGGCGAAAGCCGGAUUAAUACCGCAUACGAUCUACGGAUGAAAGCGGGGGACCUUCGGGCCUCGCGCUAUAGGGUUGGCCGAUAGCUGAUUAGCUAGUUGGUGGGGUAAAGGCCUACCAAGGCGACGAUCAGUAGCUGGUCUGAGAGGACGACCAGCCACACUGGGACUGAGACACGGCCCAGACUCCUACGGGAGGCAGCAGUGGGGAAUUUUGGACAAUGGGCGAAAGCCUGAUCCAGCAAUGCCGCGUGUGUGAAGAAGGCCUUCGGGUUGUAAAGCACUUUUGUCCGGAAAGAAAUCCUUGGCUCUAAUACAGUCGGGGGAUGACGGUACCGGAAGAAUAAGCACCGGCCAACUACGUG